AUACGGAGGAUGCGAGCGUUAUCCGGAUUUAUUGGGUUUAAAGGGUGCGUAGGCGGUUUGUCACGUCAGCGGUGAAACGCAAGGGCUUAACCCUUGACCUGCCGUUGAAACUGAUGGACUAGAAUGCGGAUGCUGUGGGAGGAAUGUGUGGUGUAGCGGUGAAAUGCAUGGAUAUCACACAGAACACCGAUUGCGAAGGCAUCUCACAAAUCCGUGAUUGACGCUGAGGCACGAAAGUGUGGGGAUCAAACAGGAUUAGAUACCCUGGUAGUCCACACUGUAAACGAUGAUGACUCGCUGUCGGCGAUAUACAGUCGGUGGCCAAGCGAAAGCGAUAAGUCAUCCACCUGGGGAGUACGACCGCAAGGUUGAAACUCAAAUGAAUUGACGGGG
This 393-nucleotide ribosomal RNA is filed under the name uncultured bacterium. RNAcentral's name for it is "partial 16S ribosomal RNA". It matches the Rfam family "Bacterial small subunit ribosomal RNA", at positions 523 to 918 of the family's 1533-position model. The record is from RNAcentral.